RNAcentral lists this transfer RNA (72 nucleotides) under Nanobdellota archaeon. RNAcentral describes it as "tRNA-Cys". It matches the Rfam family "tRNA". Rfam says of the family: Transfer RNA (tRNA) molecules are approximately 80 nucleotides in length. Their secondary structure includes four short double-helical elements and three loops (D, anti-codon, and T loops). Lineage: Archaea; Nanobdellati; Nanobdellota. The record is from RNAcentral.
GCAGGAGUGGCCAAACGGUAAGGUGAGCGCCUGCAGAGCGCUAGAUUGGGGGUUCAAAUCCCUCCUCCUGCU